Molecule: long non-coding RNA, 547 nt
Organism: Felis catus (domestic cat)
Lineage: Eukaryota; Metazoa; Chordata; Mammalia; Carnivora; Felidae
Exons: 3
Source: RefSeq, a predicted model, not a curated record
UGUAAAUGAGUGUUAGCCUUCUUGGUCUUCCCUCCAUUCUGCUUCAGUGAAGUCUGUUGUGUCUGAUGGUGUUGAUGCCCUGCCCAUAUCCGUUUGGCCCAUAGGACGUCAUCUGAAGACAGUUUCUCUACAUAUGGAACGCUUCUUCUGCAAGAGGGUGUACUCUGAACAGAGGCACAGGACCAACUUUGGAAAACCUGCUUGUGUUAAGGAAGGUGUUUGUGGGGACCCAAAAUAAUCACAAGAGUCCUUGAAAGUGGAAGAGGAAGGUACAAAUGGGGAGUUCAGAGGAAGAUGUGACUGUAAAAGACAGACACAGAGGAAGGACUCAAAACUCCACCCCUGCCAUGUUGGCUUUGAAGAUGGGCAAAGAGGCUGCCUCUGGAAGCUGGAAUGGGCAAAGAAACAGAUUCUCCUCAGGCAAUGAAUGGCCCCCUAGAACCUCCAGAGGCACAACAACCCUGCCCAUAUCUUGAUGUUAGCCCCAUGAGGCCAAUGUUGGACCUCCAACUUAACAGAAAUGUCAGAAAAGAAAUCUGUGUUUUAA